UGAUAGAGCACCCCUGGGCUCAAUCCCCAGUGCAACUACAACAACAAAAACAAACCCAUUAAUUCCAGGAUCUUGGAAAUCGGGAAUGAUUUGAAAGAGAACAGCCUUUUAAAAAUCCAACUUCACUUACAAUGAACUAGCGGUCGUUCACUGGACUUUGGACAGUAAAUUAGAAGGAUGCAUGACUUUCCCAAAGAAGUAUAAUAUGUGCUUGUAAAUCCAGGAGAAAUGAAGAAGAAAUAAUGUCUGUCCCCCCAAGUUCAUCUGAAGUUUAGUAAAAGUUAGGGCAUAAAUAACCAGUGCAAUCUCACUGGAUGCUGCAUGGAAUUUGGUUCCUUCCAGCCUUUGGCCUUGCGUCAUUUCCUUAUCUCUUGGAUGACAUUGCCUGGCUCAUCUGCCAGUGCUUUCGUCUGCUGUCUUCUACUCCAUAAAUAUUGUGGCCUGGUUGAAAGGAAGCACCCGCUCUUUGGGGCUGGCCUUUCCAGGGUUUGAUCCCUCUGUCUGGCAGAUGAGCCCUGAAUAGAGAGAGAAAGCAAAAGGGGGGCUUCUCUUCUGCCCAGAGGAACAGCAGGGUGAGGGACGAGCAGGGGGUCACGGGCCUGCUGCUCACCCAGCAGGGUUUAUGAAGAUAGCGCCAGGUAACCACAGGUUCCCAUAUCCAAACAGGGCCUGGCCUCAGCUCUGCCCACCCAAGCUCCAAGGAAAACAGUUAUUUGGAAAAAUGGUUUUCUUUCAUGCUGCCUCCUCCUCCCUAUCAUAACAGAUUAUGAGCAUGUUCCUUGGAGGAUUGAAUGGUUCCUUUUAAGAUGUUAGAAGCCAUUUCUGAGCGAGAGGAUGAGCCUAGUUAAAUUUAGUAGUCCUGCUGCACAGAAGAGAUUAACAGGUAAUUUGAAAGAACAUCAUUGAGGCUCCAGUAAACCAUUACGAUGCUCCUAAGUUUCCAAGCAUUUUGCAAUAAAAAUACUACCUAGUUAUCACACUAAUGAUGAAAGCGUAACUGUUCUCAUCUUGUCCACCACUAAGACCUGCUCCUGGUACACUCCCUGGCACAUAGUAGUACUUGGCAAAUAUUGCUAAACGAAUACAGGAAAGACAUGGCUGCCCUAAGGUUCUGACAGCUUUCCAGAGUGGACAGAAGACCUCAAUCUUGGCCAUGCUUAGCUCAGACACAGUGGGUGAUGACACUAAAUUGUUUGCUUCUAGAUCUAGUUCCUGCUUAUCCAAAAUUAUGAAUCUUAUUUCCAAUAGUUAAUGAAUGUAGGUGAUACCCCAGUAGCUUAACUCAUAUCUAAGAAAGGGCAUUAAGAAAAAAACCACUGUGGUCACCAAGGAAUUAUUCCUAAAGGGAAAGCAGAGCCAUGAAUAACAUGAAAAUAUAGCACGACUAUUGAAAGAGGACAUCUUGGGGUUACAGUGGCUACAGCAAAAGAUAGUCAAAGAUUUCAUUUAUGUCAGCGUUAGAGGGCUAGCGUUGAUUUCCAAACUUUGGAAAUUACGCCAGAUACAGGCUGGUGCAGUGGUGGUGCCUGAGGCCAGUAGAGGGCACUCUGAGCCAAGCGUGCUGCCCCCAAAUCAGAGGGACCCCACCAAGAAGUGGUUUAUGCUUCAUCUUUGUUUUUCCUGAAUGUUUUUAUGGUUUCUACCCGAAGAAGAUAGGGUUUUACCUACUCUGCACCAAAAAACUAUCUGAUAAUUUCACAUACUAAAUACCGAGUCCCAGGAAUAUAAUCAUGUCUUUAAAAAUGUUAAUGGACAUCAACCUUUGAUCUCCUUGAAAUCUGUAGACAAAUUUCCCUCGGGUUAAAUCUUAACAGUGUAAAUGUGCCCUCAGGAAUGAGAAUCUUCUUCAAAUAUUGACUCUAGGUAUAGAAGGUCAUAAAAAUCAAACCAAGAAGGGCAGACUGUAAUGUCAUCUCUUUGAAAGUGAUUUAUAUUUGGUCUAUAUUCAUCAGGUGAAUAGGAGUUACUUAUGCAUCAGUACAAUUACCUGUAGCAUUGUGAUUAAAAAGAAAGCUGUAUAUUCAUCAAGUUGGAAUAUGCUAAAGUCUUGUUUUCAAUUUACAAGCUCCGUUGGAAAUGUCUCCUUCCCUGUGCUUGUAAUUCCUAGCCCUGAGAGAACAAAUAAAUCAAGAGGCCAUUCCAGGAACCAGCACACUUAUGUGCCAACCCUGCAACUGGCAAGUCCAGUACUAAGAAUUUGUCCUACAAAAGAACUCACACAAAUGCCCAAAGAUCUAUGUGUGAGAUUCACUGCAGUGCUGUUUGCAAUAGCAAAAAUUUGGAAAUAUCGUCAUAUCAAUAAUAGAGCAAUAAAAUAAAUCAUACAGCCAAGUCAUAUCAAGCAACUAUAAAAAACGAGAGAUAGACAUUUAUGUGCAUUUUUGAGUGGAAAAAAAGAAAGCCAUAGAACAAUAGACAUAGAAUCAUUUCACAACUUUUUUAAAAAAAUAUUUUUAGUUGUUGAUGGAUCUUUAUUUUUUUUAAAUUUAUUUAUAUCCAGUGCUGAGAAUCAAACCCAGUGCCCCACAUGUGCUAGGUGACGGCUUUACCACUGAGCUUCAACCCCAGCCCUGAGUACCCCAUAAUUUUUUAAAAUCACAUAUGUAUGGGUACACAUAGAGAGGAACCUGAGGAAUUGAUUACUUCUGGGAAAGGAUUGGGGUAGAUGAGAAAUCACAUUCUAUUCUGUUACUGUAGGAAUUUUUCUAAUUUAAAAAAAAAAACUUUAAAACUCUCUAAAAAGAGGGAAAGAAUGUUGUUCACUGAACCUUUCCCUUUGCCCCCCAAAUUGAAUCAGUUCCUUCAACCUGAAAGUCCUUCAGUUUGGUGUGGAUAUGAGAUGUCCCACAAAAGCCCAUGUUAGGAAACUCAGUAAUGUUCAGAGGUGAAACAAUUAGAUGACACAAGCUGAAACCUAAUCCAUGGAUGAGUUCAUCUGAUGUAUUAAUAAUUUGAAAGAACUUCCAUGCUGGGUAGAAAGUGUAGGCUGGGCACGGUUGGAGGAAGGAGGUCACUGGGGGUGCCUCUGGGCUUAUAUUUUGUUCCUGACUCUCCCGGAUCUCUCUCUUUCUGUUUCUGGCUGCCAGGAGCUGAACAGCUUUGCUCUCUUCCAGGUGUUCUCUUCCACCAUGAUGUUCCGCCAUGGCCCUGGGCCCAGAGCAAUGGAGGCAGCUGUGGACUACAUCUCUGAAACUGUGAGCUCCAAGUGUCCUGGUCUGCUUGAGAGUCCACCACAUCUCCCAAAUCCUGUCCUGUACCUCUGCUCUGAUGUGCUGAUUUGUAGCUCCCACCAUCUGAAAGAAACCUUCCGGAACAUUCUGCAGAUGCAUCCCAAGAGAGCUGCUGGAGGAUUCAAGGACACAUGUCAAGAGUCAGCACAACACCUGGGACAAAGUAAAGGUUCCAAAGCCGGGGGUGCCACUGUGAGAGGAGUGCCAUUUCUUUAGCUUGGCCCAUCUGAAUGCUUCCAAAUGUUUCUGAAAGGAUUGCAGCCAAAGAUGACAAAGGACUUGCUCUUUGGACUAUUUUUUAUUGACUCUCUGCCUACAUACUUCUUGAUUCCAGAGAAGUCCCUGAAAAUAGCUAUAGACAGCAAUGCUGAUGGGACCUCGUCCCUGUGUCACCAGCCCUGUAUGGGGCUGCCAUAGGACCGGACCCUGGGAAGUGCCACAAUCUUCCUCACACGACAUGGCCAUGGUUUCCCCUAGUUUUUCUGUAGUGGGGGCUUCCCCACAAGACCUCAUCUGCUAGGUAGCUGGAAACAUCUUUGUUCUUAUCCCAUGGGAGAUUUAAAUGGUCCUGUUAGGAAAUGCUCCAGCCUCAGUGGCCCCCUGACCUUGGCUGCAGAAGGAGUUGGGAGGAAGCACCCAACCUCUUCCUGGAAGAGAAGAUCCAAGAUGCUCCUGCACAGGGUCCUCUAGGCGCCCACGCUCUCUGGCAUGAGUGCUUUGCCUGCUGUGUUCUGCCCACCCCUUUGUCCUUUAUGACUCAACUUGGGACUGCUGGUCUGUCCUGGCCCAGGGCCGCUCCCAGGCUGACCAGUUCUUGCUGGCCAUGAGCCUUGGCUUCCCCACCCAGAAGGUUUGCCGGGACCCCACUGUAGGGUCACCCCACAGCAGCCUCUGGCUCAUAUCUCAGCAUCUCAUCUUGUGGGAACGGCAUCAAAGCACACCCACUCGCCAUCCGUCGCGCCCGUCACCCUCCCAACCCUGGCGCUGCAGCCCCGCGUUGAGAGCCGCCUCGUCUCCACGUUCUCCCCUCAGUGCAUCAGGAUGUUUCUAAAGCCAAAGGCCCCUCACCCCCCACCACACACACACACACACACACACACACUUAUCAUACCUUCUUUUCUAACCCGAUCUUUAAGACUGAACCUCACACCACACCCCCACAGUAGUGGGAGCUCCGCAGACUCUCUGCCGAGCCGCGCCCUCGCUAUGUGAAUUGGGAGCACAAGCCAUUUUGCAAGUCUCUCCACAGAUCUUGGCAGUUGAGUCCAACUCUUCUUUAUUCUGUGCUCCCCUUUUCCUUCUCUGGCUACAGGAGACCGGCCUCCUGGCCCAGCCUCUGAGAGGGAAAGCCCAAAUGGAACAUGGUGUAUAAGCAGUGGGAUGGGAUGAGAGGAGUGAAAACGCAUUGUUUCAUUUUUGCAAAACAUUUCCCUCAUACGACUGUCCCCUUACAGGUUGAGGCUGUCAGAGCUGACGUCCUCCAAGGCAUAUUUCUUCGCUCAUUCUUAGCUGUGUUCCUUUCCGCUGAGCACCUACAGCAGCAGGCAGGCGCUGUGCUGUGGACCCAGUAGCUGCCUCACAAAUGGUACAGACGUUCUCAUCUCCACAUGGCAAGAUGCUCAACGUCUUUAGCCACCAAGGAAAUGCAAGGCAAAAGCACAAAGUCAUGUUGUGCUCAUCAUGAUGGCUUUAAUGGAAAAGGUAGACAAUAAUAGAUAUUGUCAAGAAUAUGAAGAAAUUGUUCACAUGUUGUUGGCAAAAUGCAAAAUGGUGAUCACUUUUGGAAAACACUUCAAAUGGUGAAGCAGAGUUAACCAAAUGACCCAACAAUCUCAUACCUAAGUAUAUACCCAGGAGAAAUGAAAGCAUAUAAAAGUAGUCUACUCAUGUUCAUUCAAUUACUCAUAGUAGCCAAAAAGUAGAAAAAACCCAAAUGCCCAUUGAAUGAUGAAUGGAUAAAGAAAUGUGGUACAUUCAUACAGUGGAAUAUUAGCCAUAAAAAGAAUGAACAUAACAUGAUGAAUCCUGAAAUUUUCAUGUGAAAUGAAAGAAGCCAAUCACAAAAGACCAUAUUUUAUAGGACUCCAUGUUUUCAUAUACAUUCCAUGUAUAUGAAAUGUCCAGAAUAGGCAAAUCCAUAGAGAUGGGGAAGAAGAGAAAUAGAAUAUAACUUUUUAAAAGGUUGUUUUGCGUUACUUUUUGUGGCUCUGGGGAUGGAGCCCAGGGCCUCACGCACAGUAGACAAGCACUCACCACUGAGCUACAUCCUGACCUUGUAAAAAAAACAAGUAGUUUUUUAGUAAAACACUAAAAAUAUCCUGAAAUUAAAUAGCGCAAUAGUUGUAGAACCCUGUGGACAUACCAAAAGCUAUUGGAUUGUAUACUUUAAUUGGGUGAGUUGAUAUAUGAAUUAUAUGAGUUGAUAUAUAUGAAUUAUAUCUCAAUAAAGCCCCCAUCAAUUCUCUCAUUCUCUCUGUCCCAGUUUCUUAGCUUUCCUAGAACAAACAUGAAUUCAACUUUCUGUCAUUUUGAGACUUAUUCUAGCACAUUUAUUAGAGUCCCAUAUUAUGUAGGCACUAACAUAAUAAUUUUUAAACAUCUUUUAAAAAAAUUUUUAGUUGUAGUUGAACACCUUUAUUUUAUUAUUUAUUUUUAUGUGGUGCUGAGAAUCGAACCCAGCACCUCACACAUACUAGGUGAGCACUCUACUGCUGAGCCACAACCCCAGUACCCCAAUAUAAUAAUUUUAAGUGGUCAUUUUCUGUUAUAAGGUGGACUCCAAGAGCAUGUGUCUGUUUGAUUCUGUCAUGUCCAUCACGCUUAACCCAGGACCUGACGUAGCAGGGUCUCCAUUAGUCUCUGUGGAGUGGAUGGCUUCACAGAGCUCACAUCUUAAGUGGACACAGUCCCAGUGACAACUGCACGUCAUUCAUUCAUUCAGCACAUAUUUUCUGUAGCCUCCUUGGUGUGUGGAGCGUGGGAAAGAGGCAGACAUAACUGAGCCCUGGGAGAACCUGGAACAAGGAAACCCACACGAGCAGGUUUCACAAUUCAAUCAAACACUGAAAGCAAAUAAUAUUUAAUAAAGGUUUGCAUAUAUUGGAAUUGGAUGGUUUUCAUUGUU
This is a long non-coding RNA of Ictidomys tridecemlineatus (thirteen-lined ground squirrel), 6354 nucleotides long. RefSeq lists it as uncharacterized. NCBI's taxonomy places the organism in Eukaryota, Metazoa, Chordata, Mammalia, Rodentia, Sciuridae. The record is from RefSeq and is a predicted model, not a curated record.